RNAcentral lists this ribosomal RNA (1227 nucleotides) under Peptoniphilus sp. RNAcentral describes it as "bacterial SSU rRNA". It matches the Rfam family "Bacterial small subunit ribosomal RNA", at positions 94 to 1349 of the family's 1533-position model. Lineage: Bacteria; Bacillati; Bacillota; Tissierellia; Tissierellales; Peptoniphilaceae. The record is from RNAcentral.
AGGCGCCGAGCGGUGAAUAACACGUGAGUACCCGCCUUAGACAUGGGAUAGCCUCGGAAACCGGGAUUAAUCCCAAAUGAAAUCACAUUGCCACCUGCAUAAAUGAUCAAAGCUCCGGCGGUCUAAGAUGGACUCGCGUCCCCUUAGCUAGUUGGUGAGGUAACGGCCCCACCAAGGCGACGAUGGGUAGCCGGCCUGAGAGGGUGAACGGCCACAUUGGAACUGAGAAACGGUCCAAACUCCUACGGGAGGCAGCAGUGGGGAAUAUUGCACAAUGGAGGGAACUCUGAUGCAGCGACGCCGCGUGAACGAAGAAGGCUUUCGAGUCGUAAAGUUCUUUUAUAUGGGAAGAUAAUGACGGUACCAUAAGAAAAAGCCCCGGCUAACUACGUGCCAGCAGCCGCGGUAAUACGUAGGGGGCUAGCGUUGUCCGGAAUCACUGGGCGUAAAGGGUUCGCAGGCGGAAAUGCAAGUCAGGUGUAAAAGGCAGUAGCUUAACUACUGUAAGCAUUUGAAACUGCAUAUCUUGAGAAGAGUAGAGGUAAGUGGAAUUUUUAGUGUAGCGGUGAAAUGCGUAGAUAUUAAAAAGAAUACCGGUGGCGAAGGCGACUUACUGGGCUCAUUCUGACGCUGAGGAACGAAAGCGUGGGUAGCAAACAGGAUUAGAUACCCUGGUAGUCCACGCUGUAAACGAUGAGUGCUAGGUAUCGGAAUAAUUCGGUGCCGCAGUUAACACAUUAAGCACUCCGCCUGGGGAGUACGUGCGCAAGCAUGAAACUCAAAGGAAUUGACGGGGACCCGCACAAGCAGCGGAGCAUGUGGUUUAAUUCGAAGCAACGCGAAGAACCUUACCAGGGCUUGACAUACUGAGGACCGGUAUAGAGAUAUACCCUCUUCUUCGGAAGCCUCAAUACAGGUGGUGCAUGGUUGUCGUCAGCUCGUGUCGUGAGAUGUUCAGUUAAGUCUGGCAACGAGCGCAACCCCUAUCUUUAGUUACCAGCAUUUCGGAUGGGGACUCUAAAGAGACUGCCGAUGAUAAAUCGGAGGAAGGUGGGGAUGACGUCAAAUCAUCAUGCCCUAUAUGCCCUGGGCUACACACGUGCUACAAUGGAAGAUACAAAGGGAAGCGAAAUAGUGAUAUUAAGCAAACCUCAAAAAGUCUUUCCCAGUUCGGAUUGUACUCUGCAACUCGAGUACAUGAAGAUGGAGUUGCUAGUAAUCGCAGAU